GUCACCAACUAGUUAGUUAAUACUAAUUCACGAAACGCAAUGAGCUAACUAAGCUGAGAUAAUAGUCUCUAAAUCAUAUGUAGCAGCAUAUGAAGAAUAAGUUUAGUUAGGGGUGAUAGGCCUAUCAAAUUGUCAGAUAUCUUGAUCUAUAGGAAAAAUAUUAAGUAUUUAAUCAAUAAAGAAAUGGUUAGGUUUCUUUAGGGCAUCAAUAUAAGUUAAUUAUGUGUAGUAUGUUUAAUCAUUACUACUUCUAUUUAUUUACAAUACUAAAUUAAAAUAUUAUGUAUUAUACUAUAGAAAUUAAUUGGAUAUUCUGUUAAUUAUUUAAUGGUAAUAUUAGUAUUAUAAAAUAUUCUACGAAGGAACUCGGCAAAAGUUUGCUCAACUGUUUAACAAAAACAUAGCUAAAUGAUAUUAUGUUUAGUUUUUUCUGCUCAAUGGUUUAUCUUAAUAGCCGCAGUA
This 462-nucleotide ribosomal RNA is filed under the name Actinella armitageana. RNAcentral's name for it is "partial large subunit ribosomal RNA". Lineage: Eukaryota; Metazoa; Mollusca; Gastropoda; Stylommatophora; Geomitridae. The record is from RNAcentral.